Molecule: transfer RNA, 73 nt
Filed under: Bos taurus (domestic cattle)
Lineage: Eukaryota; Metazoa; Chordata; Mammalia; Artiodactyla; Bovidae
Rfam family: tRNA
About the family: Transfer RNA (tRNA) molecules are approximately 80 nucleotides in length. Their secondary structure includes four short double-helical elements and three loops (D, anti-codon, and T loops).
Source: Rfam by way of RNAcentral
UCCCUGUUGGUCCAGUGGUUAGGACUUCACACUUUCACUGCUGAGGGCCUGAGUUCAAUCCCUAGGUGGGGAA